GAGAAGGGGACGACAGAGGAUGAGAUGGCUGGAUGGCAUCACCGACUCGAUGGAUUCUUAAGUACCAUCAUUCAUCUGCUGUUUGCUGCCUGAAACUAAAGGAAAAGAGCCUAAGAAUUCAUGGAUUCCUAAGAUUCAGACACAUGAAUGGGACAGUGAAUGGUAAUGCCUCUGUUAGACUGUGGAUAAAAAUGAACGCCUGUUCCAAGGCCUUGGUGAGCUAAACCAGUUAUGCAAAGUGAAACUCUGUGCAUAGUCUUUUGUUCCAUUCCUAAUCUCUAGUUGACUGUACAGUGGGAAAUCAACCUCCAGGGGGUUCCAGAAAGGCCUGAAGCAAACUCCACCCUCCAGGCCUUAGCCACACAGAGGUAGAUUUUGUUCUCUAGCAAGCUCCGGGAGUCGAUGAUGGACAGGGAAGCCUGGGGUACUGCAGUCCAUGGGGUCACAAAGAGUCAGACAAGACUGAGCGAUGGAACUGAACUGAAGGCAAUUGGUACUCAAGAUUGUUUCCUUUUCUUUUAAAAUGAUACAUUUAUGUUCUUUCUGAUUGUGAAAGCAAUAUAUGCUCAUUGAAUAAAAAUUAGAAAACUA
Long non-coding RNA from Cervus elaphus (red deer), 591 nucleotides. RefSeq lists it as uncharacterized. The transcript is spliced from 2 exons. Lineage: Eukaryota; Metazoa; Chordata; Mammalia; Artiodactyla; Cervidae. The record is from RefSeq and is a predicted model, not a curated record.